CCCGCGGUCAGACGGAAAGACCCCGUGCACCUUUACUACAGCUUUGCAUUGGUGUUAGGGACGACAUGUGUAGGAUAGGUGGUAGGCUUUGAAACUUGGGCGCCAGCUCAGGUGGAGCCACCCUUGAAAUACCACCCUUGUCUUCUCUGGCAUCUAACCGCGGCCCGUUAUCCGGGUCCGGGACCCUGCAUGGUGGGUAGUUUGACUGGGGCGGUCGCCUCCUAAAGAGUAACGGAGGCGCGCGAAGGUGGGCUCAGAGCGGUCGGAAAUCGCUCGUUGAGUGCAAUGGCAUAAGCCUGCCUGACUGUGAGACUGACAGGUCGAACAGAGUCGAAAGACGGCCAUAGUGAUCCGGUGGUCCCGAGUGGAAGGGCCAUCGCUCAACGGAUAAAAGGUACUCCGGGG
This 405-nucleotide ribosomal RNA is filed under the name Isochrysis galbana. RNAcentral describes it as "partial Bacterial large subunit ribosomal RNA". It matches the Rfam family "Bacterial large subunit ribosomal RNA", at positions 2069 to 2473 of the family's 2925-position model. Lineage: Eukaryota; Haptophyta; Isochrysidales; Isochrysidaceae. The record is from RNAcentral.